This 435-nucleotide ribosomal RNA is filed under the name uncultured bacterium. RNAcentral's name for it is "bacterial SSU rRNA". It matches the Rfam family "Bacterial small subunit ribosomal RNA", at positions 28 to 479 of the family's 1533-position model. The record is from RNAcentral.
GACGAACGCUGGCGGCGUGCUUAACACAUGCAAGUCGAACGGUAAGGCCCUUCGGGUACGACGAGUGGCGAACGGGUGAGUAACACGUGGGUGAUCUGCCCUGCACUUUGGGAUAAGCCUGGGAAACUGGGUCUAAUACCGAAUAUGACCAUGGACUUCACGGUUUGUGGUGGAAAGCUUUUGCGGUGUGGGAUGGGCCCGCGGCCUAUCAGCUUGUUGGUGGGGUAAUGGCCUACCAAGGCGACGACGGGUAGCCGGCCUGAGAGGGUGACCGGCCACACUGGGACUGAGAUACGGCCCAGACUCCUACGGGAGGCAGCAGUGGGGAAUAUUGCACAAUGGGCGCAAGCCUGAUGCAGCGACGCCGCGUGGGGGGAUGACGGCCUUCGGGUUGGUAAACCUCUUUCACCAGGACGAAGCGAGAGUGACGGUACC